UGGGGAAUCUUGGACAAUGGGCGCAAGCCUGAUCCAGCCAUGCCGCGUGGAUGAUGAAGGCCUUAGGGUUGUAAAAUCCUUUCGUUGGGGACGAUAAUGACGGUACCCAAAGAAGAAGCUCCGGCUAACUUCGUGCCAGCAGCCGCGGUAAUACGGGGGGUGCAAGCGUUAAUCGGAAUUAUUGGGCGUAAAGGGUGCGUAGGUUGUUUGAUAAGAUAUAUGUGAAAUACCUGGGCUCAACCUGGGAAGGUCAUAUAAGACUGUCAGACUCGAGUAUGGGAGAGGGUAGAGGAAUUUCCGGUGUAGCGGUGAAAUGCGUAGAUAUCGGAAGGAACAUCGGUGGCGAGGCGUCUACCUGGCCUAAUACUGACACUGAGGCACGAAAGCGUGGGGAGCAAACAGGAUUAGAUACCCAAGUAGUCCCUGAGCGGGCUGGCAAGGCGCAU
Molecule: ribosomal RNA, 446 nt
Filed under: uncultured bacterium
Lineage: Bacteria
Description: bacterial SSU rRNA
Rfam family: Bacterial small subunit ribosomal RNA
Source: RNAcentral